GAUGAACGCUGGCGGCGUGCCUAAUACAUGCAAGUCGAGCGAACGGACGAGAAGCUUGCUUCUCUGAUGUUAGCGGCGGACGGGUGAGUAACACGUGGAUAACCUACCUAUAAGACUGGGAUAACUUCGGGAAACCGGAGCUAAUACCGGAUAAUAUUUUGAACCGCAUGGUUCAAAAGUGAAAGACGGUCUUGCUGUCACUUAUAGAUGGAUCCGCGCUGCAUUAGCUAGUUGGUAAGGUAACGGCUUACCAAGGCAACGAUGCAUAGCCGACCUGAGAGGGUGAUCGGCCACACUGGAACUGAGACACGGUCCAGACUCCUACGGGAGGCAGCAGUAGGGAAUCUUCCGCAAUGGGCGAAAGCCUGACGGAGCAACGCCGCGUGAGUUAUGAAGGUCUUCGGAUCUUAAAACUCUGUUAUGAGGGAAGAACAUAUGUGUAAGUAACUGUGCACAGCUUGACGGUACCUAAUCAGAAAGCCACGGCUAACUACGUG
This 497-nucleotide ribosomal RNA is filed under the name uncultured bacterium. Its description in RNAcentral is "partial 16S ribosomal RNA". It matches the Rfam family "Bacterial small subunit ribosomal RNA", at positions 28 to 507 of the family's 1533-position model. The record is from RNAcentral.